Molecule: ribosomal RNA, 400 nt
Filed under: uncultured bacterium
Lineage: Bacteria
Description: bacterial SSU rRNA
Rfam family: Bacterial small subunit ribosomal RNA
Source: RNAcentral
UCGAGAAUUUUUCACAAUGGGGGCAACCCUGAUGGAGCGACGCCGCGUGGGGGAUGAAUGGCUUCGGCCCGUAAACCCCUGUCAUUUGUGAUCAAUGCAACCGGCUGAACAGGUCGGUUGCUGAUAGUAGCAAAAGAGGAAGGGACGGCUAACUCUGUGCCAGCAGCCGCGGUAAUACAGAGGUCCCGAGCGUUGUUCGGAAUUACUGGGCGUAAAGGGCGCGUAGGCGGCCCGGCAAGUUGAAAGUCAAAUAUUGCGGCUCAACCGCGCUUCGCUUUCAAAACUGCCGGGCUAGAGGUUUGCAGAAGAAACUGGAAUUUUCGGUGUAGCAGUGAAAUGCGUAGAUAUCGAAAGGAACAUCAGUGGCGAAAGCGAGUUUCUAGGCAACACCAGACGCUGA